This 650-nucleotide ribosomal RNA is filed under the name Lacticaseibacillus casei. Its description in RNAcentral is "bacterial SSU rRNA". It matches the Rfam family "Bacterial small subunit ribosomal RNA", at positions 95 to 721 of the family's 1533-position model. Lineage: Bacteria; Bacillati; Bacillota; Bacilli; Lactobacillales; Lactobacillaceae. The record is from RNAcentral.
GUGGCGGACGGGUGAGUAACACGUGGGUAACCUGCCCUUAAGUGGGGGAUAACAUUUGGAAACAGAUGCUAAUACCGCAUAGAUCCAAGAACCGCAUGGUUCUUGGCUGAAAGAUGGCGUAAGCUAUCGCUUUUGGAUGGACCCGCGGCGUAUUAGCUAGUUGGUGAGGUAAUGGCUCACCAAGGCGAUGAUACGUAGCCGAACUGAGAGGUUGAUCGGCCACAUUGGGACUGAGACACGGCCCAAACUCCUACGGGAGGCAGCAGUAGGGAAUCUUCCACAAUGGACGCAAGUCUGAUGGAGCAACGCCGCGUGAGUGAAGAAGGCUUUCGGGUCGUAAAACUCUGUUGUUGGAGAAGAAUGGUCGGCAGAGUAACUGUUGUCGGCGUGACGGUAUCCAACCAGAAAGCCACGGCUAACUACGUGCCAGCAGCCGCGGUAAUACGUAGGUGGCAAGCGUUAUCCGGAUUUAUUGGGCGUAAAGCGAGCGCAGGCGGUUUUUUAAGUCUGAUGUGAAAGCCCUCGGCUUAACCGAGGAAGCGCAUCGGGAAACUGGGAAACUUGAAGUGCAGAAGGAGGACAGUGGAACUCCAUGUGGUAAGCGGUGAAAUGCGGUAGAUUAUAUUGGGAAGAACACCAAGUGGCGAAGG